CCCGCUGUACUUAAGCAUAUCAAUAAGCGGAGGAAAAGAAACUAACAAGGAUUCCCCUAGUAACGGCGAGUGAAGCGGGAUGAGCUCAAAUUUAAAAUCUGGCUGGUUUACUAGUCCGAGUUGUAGUUUAAAGAAGCGUUUUCGGCGGCAGUCUCGGUAAAAGUCCUUUGGAAUAGGGAUAUCACAGAGGGUGAGAAUCCCGUCUUUGACUGAGAAUAUGCUACUAUGUGAUACGUUUUCAAAGAGUCGAAGUUGUUUGGGAAUGCAGCUCAAAAUGGGUGGUAAAUUUCUUCUAAAGAUGAAUAUUGUCGAGAGUCCGAUAACAAAAAAGUUCCGUGAGGGAAAGAUAAAAUGAACUUUGAAAAGAGAGUUAAACAGUGCGUGAAAUUGUUGAAAGGGAAACGCUUGAAACCAGUCAUGCGGCUGGGAAAUCAGUCUCUGACGCGGGGGAAUGGUAGAGAUGUGGCCCGCAAGGCUGCUGUCUUGCAUAUCUUUUUCGGCAGCGAUGCACUUUUUCUUCCGCAGGUCAUUAUCAGUUCGCUAUGCCGGACAAACCUCUUGGGAAGGUGGCAGCUUACGCUGUGUGAGAGCCCUGCGAGCGAUCUGGUGGAGCGGUAUGAGGUUUUCGCAGCAGGUGCUCUCGCGCAAGGCUGAUUGGGUGCUAUGAGAUCGUUCAGGGUACACAUACAUGUAUUUUCCCUUGUGUCUUUUUUAUACUACGCUACAACUCGGCUCUUCCACUGCUUAGGAUGUUGACAUAAUGGUUGUAAUCGACCCGUCUCGACACACGG
Molecule: ribosomal RNA, 791 nt
Filed under: uncultured fungus
Lineage: Eukaryota; Fungi
Description: eukaryotic LSU rRNA
Rfam family: Eukaryotic large subunit ribosomal RNA
Source: RNAcentral